AGAGUUUGAUCCUGGCUCAGAUUGAACGCUGGCGGCAUGCUUUACACAUGCAAGUCGAACGGCAGCACGGGUGCUUGCACCUGGUGGCGAGUGGCGAACGGGUGAGUAAUAUAUCGGAACAUGUCCGGAAGUGGGGGAUAACGUAGCGAAAGUUACGCUAAUACCGCAUAUGCCCUGAGGGGGAAAGGGGGGGAUCGUAAGACCUCUCGCUUUCGGAGUGGCCGAUAUCGGAUUAGCUAGUUGGUGAGGUAAAGGCUCACCAAGGCGACGAUCCGUAGCGGGUCUGAGAGGAUGAUCCGCCACACUGGGACUGAGACACGGCCCAGACUCCUACGGGAGGCAGCAGUGGGGAAUUUUGGACAAUGGGCGCAAGCCUGAUCCAGCCAUGCCGCGUGAGUGAAGAAGGCCUUCGGGUUGUAAAGCUCUUUCAGCUGGAAAGAAAACGUAUCUAUUAAUACUAGGUGCGGAUGACGGUACCAGCAGAAGAAGCACCGGCUAACUACGUGCCAGCAGCCGCGGUAAUACGUAGGGUGCGAGCGUUAAUCGGAGUUACUGGGCGUAAAGCGUGCGCAGGCGGCUUUUUAAGCCAGAUGUGAAAUCCCCGGGCUUAACCUGGGAACUGCAUUUGGAACUGGAAGGCUAGAGUGUAGCAGAGGGGGGUAGAAUUCCACGUGUAGCAGUGAAAUGCGUAGAGAUGUGGAGGAAUACCGAUGGCGAAGGCAGCCCCCUGGGCUAACACUGACGCUCAUGCACGAAAGCGUGGGGAGCAAACAGGAUUAGAUACCCUGGUAGUCCACGCCCUAAACGAUGUCAACUAGGUGUUGGGGAAGGAGACUUCUUUAGUACCGCAGCUAACGCGUGAAGUUGACCGCCUGGGGAGUACGGUCGCAAGAUUAAAACUCAAAUGAAUUGACGG
RNAcentral lists this ribosomal RNA (916 nucleotides) under uncultured bacterium. RNAcentral's name for it is "bacterial SSU rRNA". It matches the Rfam family "Bacterial small subunit ribosomal RNA", at positions 8 to 916 of the family's 1533-position model. The record is from RNAcentral.